AUUGAACGCUGGCGGCAGGCUUAACACAUGCAAGUCGAGCGGAGAUGAGGUGCUUGCACCUUAUCUUAGCGGCGGACGGGUGAGUAAUGCUUAGGAAUCUGCCUAUUAGUGGGGGACAACACUCCGAAAGGAAUGCUAAUACCGCAUACGUCCUACGGGAGAAAGCAGGGGAUCUUCGGACCUUGCGCUAAUAGAUGAGCCUAAGUCGGAUCAGCUAGUUGGUGGGGUAAAGGCCUACCAAGGCGACGAUCUGUAGCGGGUCUGAGAGGAUGAUCCGCCACACUGGGACUGAGACACGGCCCAGACUCCUACGGGAGGCAGCAGUGGGGAAUAUUGGACAAUGGGGGGAACCCUGAUCCAGCCAUGCCGCGUGUGUGAAGAAGGCCUUAUGGUUGUAAAGCACUUUAAGCGAGGAGGAGGCUACUGAGACUAAUACUCUUGGAUAGUGGACGUUACUCGCAGAAUAAGCACCGGCUAACUCUGUGCCAGCCGCCGCAGUAA
RNAcentral lists this ribosomal RNA (501 nucleotides) under uncultured bacterium. Its description in RNAcentral is "partial 16S ribosomal RNA". It matches the Rfam family "Bacterial small subunit ribosomal RNA", at positions 30 to 523 of the family's 1533-position model. The record is from RNAcentral.